AAAGAGUACAAUUGUGUGACCUCAGCUCAUCGAUAUAUUAUGGCGAUCAAGACAUCUAUUCUUAACCUCAGACUACCCAACGUUCUGGGUACUCAACGUUUGAAGCAAUGUUGUAAGAGUAGCAAGCUUAGAUGGUUGAAUUAUUUUAGACCAGCCAUCAAAAGAGGAUUAGUUGCGCUAGCUAUUGUCGCAAGUUUAGGUGCCUUAGCACAUACAUUGGGCAUCCUCGUCCCUAUGAUAGGAGCAAGUGGAUUUGCUACCGCUGCAAUUGCUAUAGGAACUGUUGCCGGUAGUUUUAGAUAAUCUCUUAAUAGUUUUGGAUAUGUUUAUAUGCAUAGUUUUGGAUGGUUUAAACUUUUUGGACAGUUUAGAACUUAAUGAUAUAGUUUGUGAAUGUUUGAAAUGUAUAGACAGUUGUUGAA
Non-coding RNA from Camellia sinensis, 422 nucleotides. The record is from RefSeq and is a predicted model, not a curated record. NCBI's taxonomy places the organism in Eukaryota, Viridiplantae, Streptophyta, Magnoliopsida, Ericales, Theaceae.